AUGCUCUUGCCAGUGAUGAUCCACAGCGAGCGCUUGGUGGCCUUGGUGGAUACAGGCUCCACCCAUAACUUCCUGCCCGAGGCUACCAUGUGUCGGUUAGCGCUUCAGCCGACGGGCGGAGAGCAACUUCGCGUCACGGUGACCAACAGCGAUCGUCUCCGGUGUCAUGGACUCGCCCGGGACGUCCCCAUCACCAUCGACGACGAACACUUCUCUAUCACAUUUGCGGGCAUCGACUUGGGCUGCUUCGACUUCAUCCUUGGCGUCGACUUCCUUCGGACCCUCGGUCCCAUCCUUUGGGACUUUGACGCUCUGACGAUGACCUUCUGGCAACUGGGCCGCCGCAUCCGGUGGGACGGCAUUGGGGGCGCCGCUCCGGCGCCGCCGCAGCUCCAGCUGGCUGCGGCCACCUCUGAGGUCGAGCAUCCCCUACUGGAUCACCUUCUGCAGCAGCACAGCGACCUCUUGGACGAGCCACAGGGCCUGCCACCGGCCCGGGUGUAUGAUCAUCGUAUUCAUCUCCUGCCGGGCUCCGCACCGGUGGUGGUUCAUCCUUACCGCUAUCCACAGCUGCAGAAGGACGAGUUGGAGCGGCAGUGUGCACUCAUGCUCGCCGCGGGCAUCAUUCGGAUCUCCAAGUCGCCCUUCACCGCGCCGGUCCUCCUCGUCCGCAAGUCGGACGGCACGUGGCGUUUCUGCAUCGACUACGGCGCCCUUAAUGCGCUCACACUCAAGGAUAAGUUUCCUAUUCCGGUGGUCGAUGAGCUACUCGACGAGCUCCAUGGGGCGCGCUUCUUCACCAAGCUCGAUCUCCGGUCGGGGUACCACCAGGUGCGCAUGCACCCGGACAACAUCGCCAAGACGGUGUUCCGGACUCACCACGGCCACUUCGAGUUCUUGGUGAUGCCCUUUGGCCUCGCCAAUGCGCCGACAACCUUCCAGGCCCUGAUGAACGACGUCCUCCGUCCCUACUUACGUCGGUUUGUGCGCGUUUUCUUUGAUGACAUUCUUAUCUACAGCGCCUCGUGGGCGGAGCACCUCCAGCACAUCGCCAUCAUCUUCAACGAGCUUCGGGCGCAUCAUCUUCAUCUUAAGCACUCGAAGUGCUCGUUCGGGAUGCCUUUGGUCGCCUACCUUGGCGACGUCAUUUCGGCUGACGGGGUUGCUAUGGAUGCCGACAAGGUGGCGGCCGUCGCAGCCUGGCCCACGCCGCACUCACCGCGGGCUCUUCGCGGUUUUCUCGGCCUCGCGGGCUACUACCGGAAGUUUAUCCGGGAGUUCGGCCUCAUCGCAGCGCCUCUCACACGUUUGCUGCGCCACGACGCCUUCGCAUGGGACGACGAGGCGACGGCGGCAUUCGAGGCCCUCAAGGGGGCCCUCACGACGGGGCCCGUUCUUCAGAUGCCGAACUUUGACCUCAAAUUCGUGGUGGAGUGUGACGCCUCGGGCGCCGGGUUCGGCGCCGUGCUUCAUCAGGGCGAUGGCCCUCUCGCCUUCUUCAGCCGGCCUUUCGCUCCGCGCCAUCUUAAGCUCGCGGCGUACGAGCGGGAGCUCAUUGGCUUGGUGCAGGCGGUGCGCCACUGGCGGCCCUAUCUGUGA
This 1599-nucleotide ribosomal RNA is filed under the name Triticum aestivum (bread wheat). RNAcentral's name for it is "partial small subunit ribosomal RNA". Lineage: Eukaryota; Viridiplantae; Streptophyta; Magnoliopsida; Poales; Poaceae. The record is from RNAcentral.